This 29-nucleotide non-coding RNA is filed under the name Rattus norvegicus (Norway rat). Lineage: Eukaryota; Metazoa; Chordata; Mammalia; Rodentia; Muridae. The record is from RNAcentral.
UCUUUAUUUCUUGGGCUUAGAACUGAAUA